RNAcentral lists this ribosomal RNA (253 nucleotides) under uncultured bacterium. RNAcentral describes it as "partial 16S ribosomal RNA". It matches the Rfam family "Bacterial small subunit ribosomal RNA", at positions 524 to 776 of the family's 1533-position model. The record is from RNAcentral.
UACGUAGGGUGCGAGCGUUAAUCGGAAUUACUGGGCGUAAAGAGCGCGCAGGCGGUCGAGUAAGUCGAAUGUGAAAGCCCCCGGCUUAACUGGGGAGGGUCAUUCGAUACUGUUCGACUUGAAGGCAGGAGAGGGCAGCAGAAUUCCCGGUGUAGUGGUGAAAUGCGCAGAUAUCGGGAGGAAUGCCAGUGGCGAAGGCGGCUGCCUGACCUGUUCUUGACGCUGAGGCGCGAAAGCUGGGGGAGCAAACGGG